This 74-nucleotide small RNA is filed under the name Gallionellaceae bacterium CG1_02_60_948. RNAcentral's name for it is "sX9 sRNA". It matches the Rfam family "Xanthomonas sRNA sX9". RNAcentral also lists the same sequence under 1 other name. Lineage: Bacteria; Pseudomonadati; Pseudomonadota; Betaproteobacteria; Nitrosomonadales; Gallionellaceae. The record is from RNAcentral.
AUGUACUACCAGUACAUUCCGGUUCCUCCGCUCCGUGCGCAUCCAAACUGACUGCGCUCGCUACGUUCUAAACC